Molecule: ribosomal RNA, 497 nt
Filed under: uncultured bacterium
Lineage: Bacteria
Description: partial 16S ribosomal RNA
Rfam family: Bacterial small subunit ribosomal RNA
Source: RNAcentral
GAUGAACGCUGGCGGCGUGCCUAAUACAUGCAAGUCCAGCGAACAGACGAGGAGCUUGCUCCUCUGACGUUAGCGGCGGACGGGUGAGUAACACGUGGAUAUCCUACCUAUAAGACUGGGAUAACUUCGGGAAACCGGAGCUAAUACCGGAUAAUAUAUUGAACCGCAUGGUUCAAUAGUGAAAGACGGUUUUGCUGUCACUUAUAGAUGGAUCCGCGCCGCAUUAGCUAGUUGGUAAGGUAACGGCUUACCAAGGCAACGAUGCGUAGCCGACCUGAGAGGGUGAUCGGCCACACUGGAACUGAGACACGGUCCAGACUCCUACGGGAGGCAGCAGUAGGGAAUCUUCCGCAAUGGGCGAAAGCCUGACGGAGCAACGCCGCGUGAGUGAUGAAGGUCUUCGGAUCGUAAAACUCUGUUAUUAGGGAAGAACAAAUGUGUAAGUAACUAUGCACGUCUUGACGGUACCUAAUCAGAAAGCCACGGCUAACUACGUG